CGCUUUAAGAUUUAAUUUAAAGUAUCGCCUGCUCAAUGAAAUAUUUUAAAUAGCCGCAGUAUAUACUGUGCUAAGGUAGCAUAAUAAUUAGCUUUUUAAUUAAAAGAUAGAAUGAAAGGCUAGACAAAAAGUACCUGUUUCAUUUAAUAUAAACAAAUUUAUAAAACUAGUUAAAAUACUAGUAUAAUUAUAAUAGACGACAAGACCCUAAUAAACUUAAUAUUUAGUUGGGGCAACAAAACAAAAACACUUUAUUUUAUAGAUAUAACUAUAAUAUAUAAAUUAAAUAGUUACUAUAGGGAUAACAGCGCAAUUCUUUUUAAAAGCUCAUAUUUAAAAAAGACAUUACGACCUCGAUGUUGAAUUAAUUAUCCAAUAUUAGUGCAAAAGCUAAUAUGGUAAGGUCUGUUCGACCUAUUAUCAAUU
RNAcentral lists this ribosomal RNA (426 nucleotides) under Smeringopina mohoba. RNAcentral's name for it is "partial 16S ribosomal RNA". Lineage: Eukaryota; Metazoa; Arthropoda; Arachnida; Araneae; Pholcidae. The record is from RNAcentral.